UGCCAGCCGCCGCGGUAAUACGGAGGAUCCAAGCGUUAUCCGGAUUUAUUGGGUUUAAAGGGUGCGCAGGCGGACUAAUUAGUCAGUGGUGAAAUCUCUCGGCUCAACCGAGAAACUGCCAUUGAUACUGUUAGUCUUGAGUGUGGUUGUGGUAGGCGGAAUAUAGCAUGUAGCGGUGAAAUGCUUAGAUAUGCUAUAGAACACCGAUCGCGAAGGCAGCUUACCAAGCCAUUACUGACGCUCAGGCACGAAAGCGUGGGGAGCAAACAGGAUUAGAUA
Molecule: ribosomal RNA, 279 nt
Filed under: uncultured bacterium
Lineage: Bacteria
Description: partial 16S ribosomal RNA
Rfam family: Bacterial small subunit ribosomal RNA
Source: RNAcentral